Molecule: ribosomal RNA, 427 nt
Filed under: uncultured bacterium
Lineage: Bacteria
Description: partial 16S ribosomal RNA
Rfam family: Bacterial small subunit ribosomal RNA
Source: RNAcentral
UGGGGAAUAUUGCACAAUGGGCGCAAGCCUGAUGCAGCCAUGCCGCGUGUAUGAAGAAGGCCUUCGGGUUGUAAAGUACUUUCAGCGAGGAGGAAGGCGGUAAGGUUAAUAACCUUAUCGAUUGACGUUACUCGCAGAAGAAGCACCGGCUAACUCCGUGCCAGCAGCCGCAGUAAUACGGAGGGUGCAAGCGUUAAUCGGAAUUACUGGGCGUAAAGCGCACGCAGGCGGUCUGUCAAGUCGGAUGUGAAAUCCCCGGGCUCAACCUGGGAACUGCAUUCGAAACUGGCAGGCUAGAGUCUUGUAGAGGGGGGUAGAAUUCCAGGUGUAGCGGUGAAAUGCGUAGAGAUCUGGAGGAAUACCGGUGGCGAAGGCGGCCCCCUGGACAAAGACUGACGCUCAGGUGCGAAAGCGUGGGGAGCAAACA